RNAcentral lists this transfer-messenger RNA (297 nucleotides) under Rickettsiales bacterium TMED127. It matches the Rfam family "Alphaproteobacteria transfer-messenger RNA". From Rfam's summary of the family: Bacterial tmRNA, also known as 10Sa RNA or SsrA, is named for its dual tRNA and mRNA-like properties. Its role is to liberate the mRNA from a stalled ribosome. The record is from RNAcentral. RNAcentral also lists the same sequence under 1 other name. Lineage: Bacteria; Pseudomonadati; Pseudomonadota; Alphaproteobacteria; Rickettsiales.
AUUCUUUAAUUAUUUUUAUUUUUUUUAUACAAUUUAAACGCUUUAUAAGCUAUGGCGAUAAAUGUUUGAAUUGUGAUCUGAGACGGACCCGGGGGCAGUGCCCGGCGCCUCCACCAAAAUCAUUUUGGGGGCGAAACAGGAUCGACGUGCAUGGGAAUCUUCAAAACUUUGCUCGGUGUAGUUCCACCGUUAUCGGACUAAUACUAAAUAAGUGCUAACGAUAAUGAAAUGGCACUCGCUGCUUAAUAAUAUUAAGUAAGCGCUGCAAUGAGACGCGGGGCAACAGAAGUCUCAUCG